This 380-nucleotide ribosomal RNA is filed under the name uncultured eukaryote. RNAcentral's name for it is "partial 18S ribosomal RNA". It matches the Rfam family "Eukaryotic small subunit ribosomal RNA", at positions 592 to 976 of the family's 1831-position model. The record is from RNAcentral.
CAAUAGCGUAUAUUUAAGUUGUUGCAGUUAGAACGCUCGUAGUCGGAUUUCGGGGCGGGCCGACCGGUCUGCCGAUGGGUAUGCACUGGUCGGCGCGUCCUUCCUUCCGGAGACCGUCCCUACUCUUAACUGAGCGGGGGCGGGGGACGGGACUUUUACUUUGAAAAAAUCAGAGUGUUUCAAGCAGGCAGCUCGCUCUUGCAUGGAUUAGCAUGGGAUAAUGAAAUAGGACUUUGGUGCUAUUUUGUUGGUUUCGAACACCGAAGUAAUGAUGAGAAGGGACAGUCAGGGGCACUCGUAUUCCGCCGAGAGAGGUGAAAUUCUCAGACCAGCGGAAGACGAACCACUGCGAAAGCAUUUGCCAGGGAUGUUUUCACUGA